CCUACGGGGGGCAGCAGUGGGGAAUUUUGGACAAUGGGCGCAAGCCUGAUCCAGCAAUGCCGCGUGUGUGAAGAAGGCCUUCGGGUUGUAAAGCACUUUUGGCGGGAGCGAAACGGCGUUUGCUAAUACCAGGCGCUAAUGACGGUACCCGCAGAAUAAGCACCGGCUAACUACGUGCCAGCAGCCGCGGUAAGACGUAGGGUGCGAGCGUUAAUCGGAAUUACUGGGCGUAAAGCGUGCGCAGGCGGCUUUGUAAGACAGGUGUGAAAUCCCCGGGCUUAACCUGGGAACUGCACUUGUGACUGCAAGGCUAGAGUGUGUCAGAGGGAGGUGGAAUUCCGCGUGUAGCAGUGAAAUGCGUAGAUAUGCGGAGGAACACCGAUGGCGAAGGCAGCCUCCUGGGAUAACACUGACGCUCAUGCACGAAAGCGUGGGGAGCAAACAGGAUUAGAUACCCCUGUAGUC
RNAcentral lists this ribosomal RNA (465 nucleotides) under uncultured Lautropia sp. Its description in RNAcentral is "bacterial SSU rRNA". It matches the Rfam family "Bacterial small subunit ribosomal RNA", at positions 338 to 795 of the family's 1533-position model. The record is from RNAcentral. Lineage: Bacteria; Pseudomonadati; Pseudomonadota; Betaproteobacteria; Burkholderiales; Burkholderiaceae.